UACGGAGGGGGCAAGCGUUAUUCGGAAUUAUUGGGCGUAAAGGGCGCGUAGGCGGCUAGAUGUGUCAAAGGUGAAAUCCCUCGGCUCAACUGAGGAAUUGCCUUUGAAACUGUCUGGCUUGAGGCCGGGAGAGGGUAGCGGAAUUCCCAGUGUAGCGGUGAAAUGCGUAGAUAUUGGGAGGAACACCAGUGGCGAAGGCGGCUACCUGGACCGGUUCUGACGCUGAGGCGCGAAAGCGUGGGUAGCAAACAGG
This 253-nucleotide ribosomal RNA is filed under the name uncultured bacterium. RNAcentral's name for it is "partial 16S ribosomal RNA". It matches the Rfam family "Bacterial small subunit ribosomal RNA", at positions 524 to 776 of the family's 1533-position model. The record is from RNAcentral.